This 235-nucleotide non-coding RNA is filed under the name Bacillus sp. (in: firmicutes). Its description in RNAcentral is "Bacillus sp. T-box sequence". It matches the Rfam family "T-box leader". From Rfam's summary of the family: Uncharged tRNA acts as the effector for transcription antitermination of genes in the T-box leader family. T-boxes are found upstream of many aminoacyl-tRNA synthetase genes and some amino acid biosynthetic genes usually in Gram-positive bacteria. The anticodon of a specific tRNA base pairs to a specifier sequence within the T-box motif, and the NCCA acceptor tail of the tRNA base pairs to a conserved bulge in the T-box antiterminator hairpin. Lineage: Bacteria; Bacillati; Bacillota; Bacilli; Caryophanales; Bacillaceae. The record is from RNAcentral.
UUAUAACCAAUGAUGGAGCAUAGUAGUUAAGCUAAAACAUGAAAAGAGAAGAAAUGUCCUGGCUGAAAGCAUUUCUACAUGAUACUUAAUGAAUGAACACUCCGAAGGCUUCUCUCUGAAACAGCUCGGGCUUAGUAGGAGAAGAACGUGAGCAGGCGUUAACUGUAAAAGAGGAAGUGCUUUUUUAGCGCUUCAACUAGGGUGGCACCGCGGGAUCUAAACUCUCGUCCCUUGU